Molecule: long non-coding RNA, 3196 nt
Organism: Triticum aestivum (bread wheat)
Lineage: Eukaryota; Viridiplantae; Streptophyta; Magnoliopsida; Poales; Poaceae
Exons: 3
Source: RefSeq, a predicted model, not a curated record
AACAAACAAAAUGCGAAUGCGACAGCACGCACCGUGGAACUCCCGGGCCGGAGCGCCGAUGCUGCCGCGGGAAACAGCGCUUGUGCGCGAGUACGGCGACCGGCGGCGGAGCGGGAACCGCCUCUCGUGCUCGAAGCAGUCGGUCAAGUCGCCGUUUGCCGCACCGGGGAUCACCAAUGCCCGCCAGCUGUUCGCUCUUUUGCUCGAGACGAUUGCUCAUGGUUUACGUACCUUGAAGAGAUGUGCGCUGGUGUGCGCAUCCACAGCACUGAAGGGGUCAUCCAAGAAGUAAACAUCAGAAUCGCUGUACAAUGCCCUGGCAAGCUGGAUCCUCUGCUUCUGGCCUCCACUUAGGUUCACACCCCUUUCCCCUACUACAGUCAUAUCUCCAUUGGCCCAUAUCUCCAAAUCUCUAUCCAAAGCACACCCUUGUAGCACCUCUUCGUAUAAGCUUCUGUCCAUAGCCUUCCCAAAGAGCACAUUGUCCUGAAUUGUCCCAGUUUGAAUCCACGCACUCUGAGGGACAUAUGCCCUUGAUCCGACAACCAUUGGUUCUGCACCGCUAACCCUUGGAAUCUCUCCCAUGAUGCUGUAAAGGAGGCUUGAUUUGCCUGAACCAACUGGCCCGCACACUGCAACCUUGAGACCCUUCCCGAUGCUCACCUUGCUGUUGAUCUUGAGUGUUACCUUUGUUUUCUUCGAGCUAGUAUCAGCUUCCCAACUGUACUCUCCUGGUUCAAUUACUAUUUCACCAGCCAUUGCCAAGUCCUUCGUUCCAUUUACGUUGCCAUGGCAACUUGGCUUACCCUGGUGGUCUUCUUUGAUGAACUCUUCUAUUCUAUCCAAGGACACCUUGGUUUGUGUGACCAUUGACACGAGUUCUGGGAGGUUAUAGAUCGGGUCUUGGAGGAUUCUAAAUGUGGCAAGGGCCGAUAAGACUGUUCCAGCUGACAAUGGUAUCUCCACAAGAAUGCAGACACCGAAGGUAACGACCGAAACCAACGUUGGUGAGGCCCAGAACAGGAAAGCUAUCGCUGAGCACGUGUAGAGAUACUUCCUGAGCCACCCCUUUUCCACAUCCCUGAGCUUCAGAAGCUUGUCCAAGUAGGCUGUCUCCCAUGCAUGAAGCUUCAAGAUCCUCAUGCUCCUCAUUGCCUCGGCCAUAGCCUUGAUGCGCGAGUCCUUCGCCUCCAUUAUCUUCAUAUUAAGGUUCUGCUGUGAAUUUGCCAGUGGUGUGUUGCUCACCAUCACCAAUACUGUUACAAGGACUGCAGACAGCGAGGCCAUUGCACCAAGACUGCGGUACAGGAUGGCAAGUGCCAAGAAAAUUUGCAAGGGCAGCAACCAAAUCCCAUGGAUGUACCAGAAGAACUCACCAACCUUCUCGACGUCAACAUCAAGGAAGUUCACAACUUUCCCGGCAACUGGGCCCGAGUUCUUCAUCAGCAGGGACUUCUUGUAGAUGGACACCAUCAGCGCUGCCCGCACCUGGAAUCCAAUUCUGCGGGCGCCAAAGUACCACUGCCGCUGUGAGAGUGACUCCACUGUCUUGGAGGCAAAGAAGAGGCAUGCAAGCAUGUAGCCAUGGCCAUGGCCCUUGCCAGUGUUCUUGUCGGCGAGUAGCUCCACCAAGUAGGUGAUCAAGAAUGGUCCCAUGUAAGAAGAAACAGUGUUGAGCCCUGGUAACGAAAGACAGUUAAUGUAUUAAUGGAUUGCCAGGACAAAUAUUAGCUCUAUUAUUGAAAAAGAAAAUGAACUGUUCACUAACCUGCAAAGACUGCAUUGGUGACCAGAGGUGUCCAGACAGCACAAAUGAUGGCUUCCCGCAGUGGGAUUGGCUCAGGUUUCUGCUUGUGGAGUGUCUCCUGAAGCAAGGCAUAAGACUGCUCUGCCAUCUCGGACUGCGGCACAGAUGGGAUGUGUUCCAGCUCAAGCCUCACCUUGUGCCCCUUCUCGAAGACUGGGUUCAGCCAUCGGAAUGUGAGGCGACUCCACCACCCCGAGCUAGAGAACCUGUCCCUGCUGCUGUCAUCAACGUUCUCCCUCAGCAGCAGCGGCUGUUCCAGCUCUUUCUGGUUUGCUUUGGAAAGCCUCAUAGCUACUACAACCAGACAGAUGACGGCGCAGAAGGGAAGAGAAGCGAAAUCGACGACGGCAGUUGCAGAAUCAAAGAGGCAAAGCAAAUGUAGCAAGGCGAGGAGCGAUUCAGAUAAGAAGCUGAAGAACCACCAAGAAACAAGAACCGGAGGCCAGUUGGAUGACACUACUACCCCUGCAGCACCUUCAUGCUUGUGGUAGAGCAGGAAGAGAGUAGCCAGAAACCACGAGGAAGAUUGAAAUACCAGGCCCGGGGAGACGGCUUGCCGCUUCCAGACCCCAAGAACCGAGAACCCGAUAUGGGACAGCGUGAUCGAAGCGUUGCAGAAUGCAACUAUACUGGCUGCCCCUCCUUGCUGCUGCGCCGAGACCACGUCGGCGCCAUACCCUGCCGCUGCUGCUUCUUGGUGCCUGUUCCUCCGUUUCACAAGCUCUGCGAGGGUCCAAACCAGCAGGACGGCGAAGGCUGCCGCCCGGACGUAGUCCAAUGCUUGCAAUUCCUCCAUGGGAUGCUGGGAAUCAUGAGAAGGUGGCAUGGAGCUGUGGAACACCAAGAUGGCAACGAACUGGCCUGUUACAUUGAGGCAGGAGACAGUGAGAGACAAACUUGGGCAAAAUAAGCUAAGCAGUGCGUAGUGGGAGGGGACGGGCGCUAACCAAAAGUAGAGCCUGACUGACAGCACGUGGCUUGGCUUGAGAGGCUAUGUACGCGUACUCGGGAUCGGCAACGGCAUCAAGCCUUGCUAGUGUUUAAUGCCGACCUAAAACAAGGAAGAAGAGAGAAUCAAAGGGCAUAUAUAUUGAGGUGGUAUUAGGUUUUGCAGCAUGCGUGCAUCUUGAUUGGGUUUGUUGGCUGGCAUCUUAGGUUCGACUCUUUUGGCAUAUAUAAGCAGGAAGAAAGGUUGGUAUCAGUGUCCGGAUAACGAAAGAUGCACCAACUAGGCAACUAGAGCUGGUCGCGGCGUGGAUGGAGUACACCAACUAUUGUUCUUAUCAGCCAGCCCCAAAGCAUUUGGAAGAUGGCCCUAUAUGAUAAACAAACACAAAAGCGUCGGAGAUAAGUCAAGCCAGAAAUAUAAAAGCAUUUAGAUCACUAUUU